Molecule: ribosomal RNA, 468 nt
Filed under: uncultured bacterium
Lineage: Bacteria
Description: partial 16S ribosomal RNA
Rfam family: Bacterial small subunit ribosomal RNA
Source: RNAcentral
GACGAACGCUGGCGGCGUGCUUAACACAUGCAAGUCGAACGGCAAGGCACUGCUUUCUUGCGGUGCUCGGGUGGCGAACGCGUGCGUAACACGUGAAUAACCUGAUCUUGUCUUUGGGAUAACUUCAGGAAACUGAACUUACUACCAGACAGGAUACCCUGUACCGUGGAGGGGGGUGGAACGUCUGGGCGGGUGGGGAUGGACUGGCGGGUUAUCAGCUUGUUGGUGGGGUAGUGGCUUACCAAGCAUGGGAAUGGUACCCGGCCUGUGAGGGUGACCGGCCACAAUGCGACUGAGAUACGGCGCAGAGUCCUACGGGAGGCAGCAGUGGGGAAUAUUGCACAAUGGGCGGACGCCGGAUGAGGCAACGCCGCGGUCGGGAUGACGGCCUUUUGGUUGUGAACAGCUUUCGCCUGUGACGAAGCGGGAGUGACGGUAAUGGGUAAAGAAGCACCGGCUAACUACGUG